GUCUCUCAUUCUUUUACUUGACUACUUCACACCGAAACCCUAGCCUCCCUUCCCUCUUUCUUCUAGAGCAAUCAUCGUCAUCUUCACCACUUAUUAAGGAUCAAUUAGAUGUUGAUCAAUCAGUACAGAAAUGAAUACAAAUAUAUACAAAUAUAUGUGAUUCGAAUAAAGGAAGAUGGUGACGUUGGUUGUGGCCUGAAGAGAAACGACGACGAAGAAUGGUUGAUUUAGGGUUCUUCAGUUCGGGUAAUGUGAUGGUUGAUUUAGGGAUUCUGAAACCGUAAGUUUUCUUCUCCCGUUUUACACUGAUUUCUUCAUCUGGCGAACUUCCAGGAAGAUGGUGAUGGUGGCCUGGAAAGGAACGAUGACAACGGCAUGUGUUGAUUUAGUGUUUCUCAAGUGGUGGUCUUAUGAUGGUUGUUGUUUAACGCAAAGACGGAAGGGCGGCGGCUAGGGUUCCACCACAUAACUUUGACCAGUUGUGGUUUCCGCCGGUUAUCGGUAGAUCAACCAGGAAUGAUAUUGUACGAGUUAUGCGAUUUGUUUGGAAUGUACAUGAUAGAUGAAACAAGUUAUGGACCAAAUCAUGUUGCUCUUGCUGGCCAAAAGAGUUCCAGUAACAAAGACCAAUCUUUGUACGCGUUGGUCGGGGUGACCAGAACCACUUAUGAGUUAUUUUCAAUAACUGGUUGUGGUAUUGAUAUCGGUAUUUAAAGAAAACUUUGACUGAGGAAUGUAUGCUUGCCUAAUUUGGUUGUUUGGAAGAGGGGAGAGUGAGUUUUCUGUUGGUAUAAGGCUAGCCUUGGUUCAACAGGAUUAAGACAGUUUGACUUAUAAGAAGUUAACCCAAAGUAGAAGUUGAAGAAUAUCAUGUUGGGGCAUCAUGAGGCAAAGGUAAAGUAUUAAUAUUAAAGCUCCAACAUAAUGAUGAUGCUGCUGCUCAAGUCUAUGGUCGAACUACAUAACCUGUGGAAAAGCAUAUGAAUAACUCUAUAAGUGUGUUUGUAUCUCACAACUUAAAUUAUCAUUUUCUCUAUAAUAUUUAUCUUCAUCUUACUGUAUAAAUGACAUUGUUAAUAAUAAACUUGGAAUAAAACGCUUAUGACACUGUUUUAAUAUACAUUUUAUUUAAUAUUGC
RNAcentral lists this long non-coding RNA (1138 nucleotides) under Helianthus annuus (common sunflower). Its description in RNAcentral is "hypothetical non coding rna". Lineage: Eukaryota; Viridiplantae; Streptophyta; Magnoliopsida; Asterales; Asteraceae. The record is from RNAcentral.